CUCCAGCCCCUCGAGUGGUGGGGAUGAUUAUUUGGCCUAAAGCGUCCGUAGCCGGCCGGGUAAGUUUCCCGUUAAAUCCAAUGUCUCAAGCAUUGGACUGCGGGAAAUACUGCCUGGCUAGAGAGUGGGAGAGGUGUACGGUAUUCUGGGGGUAGGGGCGAAAUCCUUUGAUCCCCGGAGGACCACCAGUGGCGAAGGCUGUACACUAGAACACGUCUGACGGUCAGGGACGAAAGCUGGGGUAGCGAACCGGAUUAGAUACCCGGGUAGUCCCAGCUGUAAACGAUGCAUGCUAGGUGUUGGGUUGGCCACGAGCCACCCCAGUGCCGCAGGGAAGCCGUUAAGCAUGCCGCCUGGGAAGUACGAUCGCAAGAUUGAAACUUAAAGGAAUUGGCGGGGGAGCACCACCAGGCGUGAAGCCUGCGGUUU
Molecule: ribosomal RNA, 429 nt
Filed under: uncultured archaeon
Lineage: Archaea
Description: bacterial SSU rRNA
Rfam family: Archaeal small subunit ribosomal RNA
Source: RNAcentral